UUGAACGCUGGCGGCAUGCCUUACACAUGCAAGUCGAACGGCAGCACGGGUGCUUGCACCUGGUGGCGCGUGGCGAACGGGUGAGUAAUACAUCGGAACAUGUCCUGUAGUGGGGGAUAGCCCGGCGAAAGCCGGAUUAAUACCGCAUACGAUCUACGGAUGAAAGCGGGGGACCUUCGGGCCUCGCGCUAUAGGGUUGGCCGAUAGCUGAUUAGCUAGUUGGUGGGGUAAAGGCCUACCAAGGCGACGAUCAGUAGCUGGUCUGAGAGGACGACCAGCCACACUGGGACUGAGACACGGCCCAGACUCCUACGGGAGGCAGCAGUGGGGAAUUUUGGACAAAGGGCGAAAGCCUGAUCCAGCAAUGCCGCGUGUGUGAAGAAGGCCUUCGGGUUGUAAAGCACUUUUGUCCGGAAAGAAAUCCUUGGCUCUAAUACAGUCGGGGGAUGACGGUACCGGAAGAAUAAGCACCGGCUAACUACGUG
This 485-nucleotide ribosomal RNA is filed under the name uncultured bacterium. Its description in RNAcentral is "partial 16S ribosomal RNA". It matches the Rfam family "Bacterial small subunit ribosomal RNA", at positions 30 to 507 of the family's 1533-position model. The record is from RNAcentral.